This is a non-coding RNA of Peromyscus maniculatus bairdii (prairie deer mouse), 986 nucleotides long. The record is from RefSeq and is a predicted model, not a curated record. NCBI's taxonomy places the organism in Eukaryota, Metazoa, Chordata, Mammalia, Rodentia, Cricetidae.
CUUUUAUCGGCUACAGGAGGAUUUUCUGACAGAAGCUGGUGAUGUUUUCUGGCAGAAGUUAAAUCCAACGAACCUAAGAAAACAAGGAACUCAGUGGUGCCUCUCCCAUGGACCAAACCCGACUGGAAAGUCUCGGGCGCCCUGUUAGUCUCCCUCCGAGUCUGUUCACGCACCGGGGCAAGAAAUGCGAAAGGAAUCACGGCCAGAGCGAAGACGCCGCCGCGGGAACGGGACUCACAAAGCGCUCCCCCGACACCGGGGCUGCCGCCGGGCACCCCGACCGACGCGGAGGCGGGCGCAGGGCUGGGCGCGACCCCGCCGGGCAGGCGGCGUCCAAACCCCGCCCGUCAACGGUCGCCCUCCGCGGACGCUUCCUCCGGGCGGGCGCAGACGCAGCUCCGGACGCCCCGACGCCGUCCACGGAGGCCGGCCCCCACGCCGCGCCCUCGGCUCGCACGGCCACGGCUUCGGUUGCCCGCCGGUCAACACCCUCGGCCCCCGCAGCCCGCCCUCGAGACUCAGCGCGCAGGCGCGGAAAGCUCCGGGGUUUUGUGUUUUGUUUUUUUUCCAAACGGAAGUGAACGCUCGGGCGCAUCCUGGUGCUCUUCCUCUCCUACCCGGGUGGGAACAAAUCCCCCCAACGUUAAAGAGACGUCAAAGAGAUGUGACUUUAUUUAUUUUUUUAUUUCAAAGGCAGCCUCUCGCGUUUGUUUUUGUUCCUCGAGGGCCGGAGGACUCUCCAUCAGCCCAUGCGCACCGUCUUCGUUUAUCAAGGGUGAGCGACGCCGUAGUAACUGUAGACCGUUAGAGACCUAGGGGCUGUAACGAAUCUGGGUCCAAGGGUCCACGCUCACCUUGCCUUCCACCGCCCCCACGUGUUCUCGGCUGUCCCGCGGCGCGGCGCCCUCCUUCCACCUUCCCCUCCGAUCUCGGACUCUCCGCGCCCCGCAGCCCCUCGGCCCCGGGGCCGUCGUCGGAUGCCAGAG